UAUCUUGUCAUCCAGCUGUUAUGGUUAAUAAUGAAUAGUUUUCUCUGGGUGAAGCUUAUCCAUUGCACACCUGAUGUGCUGGCCCCUGCGAUUUCCCCAAAUGUUGGAAUGUUGCCUGCAUAAUUUGUGGUAAUGGGGGACUGUGUUCCUGCUUUUACCUG
Gorilla gorilla gorilla (western lowland gorilla) is the source of this 161-nucleotide small nuclear RNA. Its record names the gene U1. It matches the Rfam family "U1 spliceosomal RNA". Rfam says of the family: U1 is a small nuclear RNA (snRNA) component of the spliceosome (involved in pre-mRNA splicing). Its 5' end forms complementary base pairs with the 5' splice junction, thus defining the 5' donor site of an intron. NCBI's taxonomy places the organism in Eukaryota, Metazoa, Chordata, Mammalia, Primates, Hominidae. The record is from Ensembl.